Molecule: long non-coding RNA, 1315 nt
Filed under: Mus spicilegus (steppe mouse)
Lineage: Eukaryota; Metazoa; Chordata; Mammalia; Rodentia; Muridae
Description: lncRNA (ENSMSIG00000018277.1)
Source: RNAcentral
GCUAAAGAUGCUUUUAUUAGUAUCUGUUAUAACACAUCUCAUUAACGUAUUUAAUGUUUUUCAGUUCUGUGCUUAGACCCUCUCUUGUUUGCCUUCCACUUACUUAUCUGAUUCUCUUCCCUCUCUAGCUGGUCUUCUGCCUUCACAUUUUCUCCCCAAAGUUGAGUGUUUUAGGGUUCUCACAGGAGUAAGGUGAAGGCUUGUACUUUACCAGUGUCUAUACCACUGAACAAAAGUGUGGAGUGUCUUGGUAUUUGCAUUUGUAAAACAGUUGGAAUUCAAGAAACAGGUGCCGUUACUGUUUCAAAUGCUGUGCUGUUCAGAAUGGAGGGCAGGAGAUGGGUAAAAUGAUACAGCCAUUAUUACAUCCCCCAUUGUUGCCUAGCACUGUGGCUGCUCACCAGAAUGGGCCUUAGAGACAGCCUUGUCCAAACUCCUCAUGGUUGCAGAUGGUGAAUCCAGGAUCCAGAAAGAUAAAUGUCUUUAGAAGUCUACACAGUUAGUUUUUUCCCCUAGUCUUUGUGUGUUUCUUGGUGGAACUGGAAAAGAGACGUGGGAGAAUUUGGGAGCUCACCUAGAGAUGAAAUUUUCUUGGAGAUGAUCAAGUUACCAGCAAGAGAAGGUUGGACACAACACUUUGUUGAAUAUUAUUGCUGGGUGAGCUGGAAAGGAACCAGUAGUUACAUGGUAGCCUUUGAGUCCUUGUGAUCAGUUACAUUGUUCCCAAACUGCCAAUCUGCUGUCACAGGAUACAUUGUUCCCAAACUGCCAAUCUGCAUGUUCAUGGAGACAGAAGAGAAAGCUGGAAAGUGGCUGGUCCUUUGAUAAUGGGAUUCAAGCCAGACCGAGAGUUUUACUUUCUUUUGCUGGGGGAAUUCGAGAACUACCUUGAAUGUUAUUCCACCCAGAAGAAAAAAGACUUAGAAUUUUCCAACAAAACGACCAUCCUCGGAGAAGCCAGCAGAAACGGCAUAGGGUUUAGAACAUGCGCGUCACCGUCACCACCUACGCACAAACGUAGGAUUUAGAACCGCCUUGCUGCGCACGGCACCGUGUCACCACCUACGCACCUAAGCAAGCUGAUCCUGUAUACCUGGAAAAGAUUUUUCAAACAGACUUUGUCAGCUCAGCGUUGGCAUUCCUUGUCAAACAAAAGCACGCCUAAAGACGCAUUUCAAAAGCAGACGAUGCUGCACUUGCUAUCCUGCAGAAAAUCGAAAAGAAACUCAGAGGCCGAGAACAAACAGAAUGGAGAACCAACGCCGUGCAGAGCGCCGUUCUGAGAAACACUUUCAGAGAACCAAAUAUGUUUUCA